GAUGAACGCUGGCGGCGUGCCUAACACAUGCAAGUCGAACGAAGCAUACGGACUGGAGAUUCGUCGAAGGACCGUAUGACUUAGUGGCGGACGGGUGAGUAAUGUAUGAGCAACCUGCCUUUCAGAGGGGGACAACAGUUGGAAACGACUGCUAAUACCGCGUAACGUAUCGUGAGGGCAUCCUCGUGAUACCAAAGGAGUAAUCCGCUGAAAGAUGGGCUCAUAUCUGAUUAGAUAGUUGGCGGGGUAACGGCCCACCAAGUCGACGAUCAGUAGCCGGACUGAGAGGUUGAACGGCCACAUUGGGACUGAGACACGGCCCAGACUCCUACGGGAGGCAGCAGUGGGGGAUAUUGGACAAUGGGGGCAACCCUGAUCCAGCGACGCCGCGUGAGGGAAGAAGGUUUUCGGAUUGAAACCUCUGUCGACAGGGAAAAUGAUGAUGGUACCUGUGGAGGAAGCCACGGCUAACUACGUGCCAGCAGCCG
This 488-nucleotide ribosomal RNA is filed under the name uncultured bacterium. Its description in RNAcentral is "bacterial SSU rRNA". It matches the Rfam family "Bacterial small subunit ribosomal RNA", at positions 28 to 517 of the family's 1533-position model. The record is from RNAcentral.